GAUUAACAUGGCAUGAAAUACAAUGAUCAUAUAGAAGCCAAAAGAAUGUUUCCAAGUGUUCUUUGCUUUCAUACAACACAAGAUUUAUGAUUGGUUUUUACACCCAAACUAAAUCAUAUGACAAGUUUAUCCGAAAAAGAUAUAUUAUUAAGAUAAAUAUAUUUGCUAGGAUAUAUCUGAAAAUUUAUCUUACUUAAAUCCCCUCUUUUCACUAACUCUUCCCAGGUUCUUUAAGCUUAUCAUGUUUAGGCUAUCCUCCAUAAUUUAGCUUUGACCUAGUAUCAAUGUACAAAUACCAUGAUGGACUCAAGUCUGGGUCCAUGAAGGUGUAGCUUUUGUGGUGUGCAUACCAUGACAGGAUGAUCAAAUCCAAAGCUAGGUUGGCACGAGCACAUAGGCACUUUCCCAGAAUCCAAGACCAUGUUGGCACAACCAUGUGGUCCAGUUUGGCCCAAAUCCAAGGUCGUGUUGGUGUGAGCACAUUAGCUAAAAGAGUGUGAGCACAUUAGCUAAAAGAGCCCAGUAUGACUCUGGCUAGGCAUGGAUGUAACCUCAGCUACCUGGCUUGGCCUUCCCCCCUCUAACGAACUCAUCUCCCUCUUUCGGCUCCCCCUCACCUCAAUUGACUGUCAUGAGUGUCCUAUCAUCGUCUUCCUCUCAAUCAACCCUACCUCCACCUCCUCCCAACCUCCCUUUCCUAGAUGCUGCCAUCACCACUUCAUCCUUCUCUUCAGAACAACCCACCCCAACCUCCCCUUCACCUCCUUUGGUCACUACCUCCUCUCAACUAUCCCUCUUCCACUACCUCCUUUGGCAGCCUCAACAGAGGAGUCUGUCCUAAGCCAGUCUGGCCCAAUUCAUGUUACAUUUCAAGGCUGUAGACAUAC
RNAcentral lists this long non-coding RNA (887 nucleotides) under Musa acuminata (dwarf banana). RNAcentral's name for it is "long non-coding RNA (MACU_LNC001782)". The record is from RNAcentral. Lineage: Eukaryota; Viridiplantae; Streptophyta; Magnoliopsida; Zingiberales; Musaceae.